RNAcentral lists this ribosomal RNA (1310 nucleotides) under Providencia rettgeri. RNAcentral's name for it is "partial 23S ribosomal RNA". It matches the Rfam family "Bacterial large subunit ribosomal RNA", at positions 593 to 1887 of the family's 2925-position model. The record is from RNAcentral. Lineage: Bacteria; Pseudomonadati; Pseudomonadota; Gammaproteobacteria; Enterobacterales; Morganellaceae.
GUGACUGCGUACCUUUUGUAUAAUGGGUCAGCGACUUAUAUUCUGUAGCAAGGUUAACCGUAUAGGGGAGCCGUAGGGAAACCGAGUCUUAACUGGGCGAAUAAGUUGCAGGGUAUAGACCCGAAACCCGGUGAUCUAGCCAUGGGCAGGUUGAAGGUUGGGUAACACUAACUGGAGGACCGAACCGACUAAUGUUGAAAAAUUAGCGGAUGACUUGUGGCUGGGGGUGAAAGGCCAAUCAAACCGGGAGAUAGCUGGUUCUCCCCGAAAGCUAUUUAGGUAGCGCCUCGUGAACUCAUCUUCGGGGGUAGAGCACUGUUUCGACUAGGGGGUCAUCCCGACUUACCAACUCGAUGCAAACUACGAAUACCGAAGAAUGUUAUCACGGGAGACACACGGCGGGUGCUAACGUUCGUCGUGAAGAGGGAAACAACCCAGACCGCCAGCUAAGGUCCCAAAGUCAUAGUUAAGUGGGAAACGAAGUGGGAAGGCUCAGACAGCCAGGAUGUUGGCUUAGAAGCAGCCAUCAUUUAAAGAAAGCGUAAUAGCUCACUGGUCGAGUCGGCCUGCGCGGAAGAUGUAACGGGGCUAAACUAUGCACCGAAGCUGCGGCAGCGAUAUGUAAAUAUUGUUGGGUAGGGGAGCGUUCUGUAAGCCUGUGAAGGUGUACUGUGAGGUAUGCUGGAGGUAUCAGAAGUGCGAAUGCUGACAUAAGUAACGAUAAUGCGGGUGAAAAACCCGCACGCCGGAAGACCAAGGGUUCCUGUCCAACGUUAAUCGGGGCAGGGUGAGUCGACCCCUAAGGCGAGGCAGAAAUGCGUAGUCGAUGGGAAACGGGUUAAUAUUCCCGUACUGGUGAUAAUUGCGAUGGGGGGACGGAGAAGGCUAGGCUAUCCGGGCGACGGUUGUCCCGGUUUAAGGAUGUAGGCAGGUGAAUUAGGCAAAUCCGGUUCACUAUAUGCUGAGGUCCGACGACGAGUCACUACGGUGAUGAAGUAGCUCAUGCCCCGCUUCCAGGAAAAGCCUCUAAGCUCUAGAUUAUCAUUAAUCGUACCCCAAACCGACACAGGUGGUCAGGUAGAGAAUACUCAGGCGCUUGAGAGAACUCGGGUGAAGGAACUAGGCAAAAUGGUGCCGUAACUUCGGGAGAAGGCACGCUGGCGCUAGGUGAAGUCCCUCGCGGAUGGAGCUGAAGCCAGUCGCAGAUACCAGCUGGCUGCAACUGUUUAUUAAAAACACAGCACUGUGCAAACACGAAAGUGGACGUAUACGGUGUGACGCCUGCCCGGUGCUGGAAGGUUAAUUGAUGG